GUCAUCAUGCCCCUUAUGUCCAGGGCUACACACGUGCUACAUUGGCGCAUACAAAGGGCAGCAAUACCGCGAGGUGGAGCGAAUCCCAGAAAGUGCGUCUCGGUUCGGAUUGGAGGCUGAAACUCGCCUCCAUGAAGCUGGAGAUGCUAGUAAUCGCGGAUCAGCAAUGCCGCGGUGAAUACGUUCCCGGGCCUUGUACACACCGCCCGUCACACCACGAAAGCGAGCAACACCCGAAGCCGGUGGCCUAACCCUUUUGGGAGGGAGCCGUCGAAGGUGGGGCCCGUGAUUGGGGUGAAGUCGUAACAAGGUAGCCGUAGCGGAAGCUGCGGCUGGAUCACCUCCUUU
Molecule: ribosomal RNA, 348 nt
Filed under: bacterium
Lineage: Bacteria
Description: bacterial SSU rRNA
Rfam family: Bacterial small subunit ribosomal RNA
Source: RNAcentral